UAGAGCCGAAUACACUCUAAAAAUGAAGGGUUCAACUGGAGUUGUUCUCAGAUCCCCUAAGAACCGUAGGGUUCUUGUCAAUGAAAAACAGCCCAAAAGGUUCUUCAAAGAACUUGUUAGAAGGUGGGUUCAUCGAGGAACCUCCGUUGUUGCUGGACUUCUUCCUGGAACUUCGCAAUUACAACUGAAAACGCCAGUGGCAAGUUUGGAUGCGACAACAGUUAAAAAGGACAGAACAUGGACACAAUGCAAUUGGGAUCAAGAAGAUCUUCUCAGAAAUGAAUCAAGUCCAUGGAAUGGAUAUAGACAAAAAGAGAAUUCAAGGACUAGCAGAGGUAAAGAGGUGAGGCAGGGGUGAGGAGACCAUCCUGCUAUUUUGACAGUCCCUGAAGGACAAUACAGAAGAGGACUGGAGACCACAGCAGCGAUCCUGCUCUUGCCCUACCUCUUCAAGAGGACCCGAGUGGCCUUUAUGUCAGUGACAAGAUUUCACCACUCUUCACUCCGUUACUGCACAUCGGCGGAAAUCCAUUUCACCAUGAGAGUGAAAUCCCGCUGGCCUUUGAUGGGGAGAACGUCCACGCCCUCGAGGACUUGGGGCUCUGCUACGACUGCAUUUAAAAAAUCCCUUAAAUUUCCCAAAAUGUCAGAAAAACACAUAUGUUCUUAAGUUACUGUGUUCUGGGGAUAAGAGAAGUUGGGGUGAAGUUACCAGGACCGGUCAUAAAGAUGGCAAAAUUCCGAACAUAACUAAAUGGAUACGAUAUACACACUAAAGCUGAAAAAUCUGUAUUUAGCAUCAAGUCUACAAUAUUGUUAGUUUACCUAUGAUUCAUUUUUAAUGUAUGUUGUUUUUAUUGUACAUCAUUAUUCAUAUAUAUUUUUUAAAUGUCAUGAAAAGCCCUAUACAAAGUAAAUGUAUUAUUUAUUAUGGUCU
Molecule: long non-coding RNA, 937 nt
Organism: Oncorhynchus kisutch (coho salmon)
Lineage: Eukaryota; Metazoa; Chordata; Actinopteri; Salmoniformes; Salmonidae
Exons: 5
Source: RefSeq, a predicted model, not a curated record